Molecule: ribosomal RNA, 468 nt
Filed under: uncultured bacterium
Lineage: Bacteria
Description: partial 16S ribosomal RNA
Rfam family: Bacterial small subunit ribosomal RNA
Source: RNAcentral
GACGAGCGCUGGCGGCGUGCUUAACACAUGCAAGUCGAACGGAAAGGCCCUGCUUUUGUGGGGUGCUCGAGUGGCGAACGGGUGAGUAACACGUGAGUAACCUGCCCUUGACUUUGGGAUAACUUCAGGAAACUGGGGCUAAUACCGGAUAGGAGCUCCUGCUGCAUGGUGGGGGUUGGAAAGUUUCGGCGGUUGGGGAUGGACUCGCGGCUUAUCAGCUUGUUGGUGGGGUAGUGGCUUACCAAGGCUUUGAGGGGUGGCCGGCCUGAGAGGGUGACCGGCCACAUUGGGACUGAGAGACGCCCCAGACUCCUACGGGAGGCAGCAGUGGGGAAUAUUGCACAAUGGGCGGAGGCCUGAUGCAGAAACGCCGCGUGCGGAAUGCCGGCCUUCGGGUUUUAAACCGCUUUCGCCUGUGACGAAGCGUGAGUGACGGUAAUGGGUAAAGAAGCACCGGCUAACUACGUG